RNAcentral lists this ribosomal RNA (254 nucleotides) under uncultured bacterium. Its description in RNAcentral is "partial 16S ribosomal RNA". It matches the Rfam family "Bacterial small subunit ribosomal RNA", at positions 524 to 776 of the family's 1533-position model. The record is from RNAcentral.
UACGUAGGGGGCGAGCGUUGUCCGGAUUCAUUGGGCGUAAAGAGCUCGUAGGCGGUUUGGCAAGUCGGGUGUGAAAUCUCUGGGCUCAACUCAGAGAGGCCACUCGAUACUGCUAUGACUAGAGUCCGGUAGGGGACCAUGGAAUUCCUGGUGUAGCGGUGAAAUGCGCAGAUAUCGGGAAGAACACCGGUGGCGAAAGCGCUCUGCUAGGCCGCAACUGACACUGAGGGACGAAAGCUAGGGGAGCGAAUGGG